CCGAGUUUACAACUCCCAAAACCCCGUGUGAACGCUACCAUCGUUGCCUCGGCGGGACCGCCCCUGGACAGGGCGCCCCGCCGGAGGAAAACCCCAGACCCUCGUGUUUAGGCCGCCACUGGGCGGUCCGCAUCACCUCUGAAAACCCCCUGCGCUCCCCGGAGCGGAGGGAAAUGAAUCA
Molecule: unclassified non-coding RNA, 181 nt
Filed under: uncultured fungus
Lineage: Eukaryota; Fungi
Description: sequence contains ITS1, 5.8S rRNA gene
Source: RNAcentral